AUUUUUUAAUUGUAGCCUGAGAAAACAAUGAAAGGGAGAGAAAAAUAUUAGAAACAUAUUCACCCAAGAUGCUUCCAUGGUUUAUGGCUAAUAUGUAUCCUGCUAGAAAAUUUACACCAGGCUGUCAUACAUCGCCAUCAAAUGGAGAAGAAUUCUGGGAAGCUCACCUAAGUAUCAUACUGCAGGAGAUUCUGAUUAGCACAUACUAACUUUCCGAAUGACUCACGCAAUGUGGGAUGAACUGAAGUGGGCAUGCUCCUCAGUACAGUCUUAAAACUCAAAAAACCUGCUUCUGACCAAACCUGAAAGGGGAUUUUAAACAUGGAAGAAGGAACAUAUCAACAACAGCCCACCUGCACAGCUGCUUGUACUAAGGAACUUCACUAAAACCCAUUUUCUCAGAGUAGUCUCCCUGCAUUCCCUGUGUGUUUAGGAGUCUAAAGUCUCUCCCCAAAGAAACGCAUAAAGUAUUCUGUUCAUGUCACCAAGAAAGUCAUCAAUUCUUCUCUCAGGGCUUCAUAUCUAAGCCUGCCCUAAGCUGAUCAACAUAUAAUACUGAUAAAAGAGUGUUUUAAACCUGAAUAAGUUUAAGAAUGAAUUAUUGAACCAUCAACAGAUUUCUUCACCUUCCUAUUGUAAGACUCUAUUUUCUUCCUGAUCCCAAAAUAAAAAAAAAAAAAAAUGUGAAUGAAGUUUACAUUCAAGAGAUGUAGGACAGAAUUUCAACUUCUCUUGUACAUUUUGUGGCCAUUCAAAUCAAGUAACACUUAUUCUGGGCACCUGUGGAAAAUAUCUGGAAACCUUUUCCUUCUUGUCCUAUUAAAUGAUGGAAGG
RNAcentral lists this long non-coding RNA (834 nucleotides) under Mus pahari (shrew mouse). Its description in RNAcentral is "lncRNA (MGP_PahariEiJ_G0004942.1)". The record is from RNAcentral. Lineage: Eukaryota; Metazoa; Chordata; Mammalia; Rodentia; Muridae.